Molecule: long non-coding RNA, 958 nt
Organism: Mastomys coucha (southern multimammate mouse)
Lineage: Eukaryota; Metazoa; Chordata; Mammalia; Rodentia; Muridae
Exons: 3
Source: RefSeq, a predicted model, not a curated record
GCUCCUCCAGGAAGCAGUUGCUGUGUUUGAAGCUAAUCAACUUAUAUCGCUGGAAAUAACUAUGGCUUUGGCCUCCUUGGCAGUUUUCCCUCUUAGCAAAUUGGCUCUCUGGUUGAAGGUGACAUUUAGUAAAGCCUGUGAGACACAGCAAAGCCUACAGCCUACAGCCUACAGCCUACAGCCUAUGUAGGAAAUCAAGGUGCCACAGCCCAGAAAGCCAAGUGGAGCCUGAGUUGAUGACUUCACCUGCCUCACGCACCUUCAUCCCGCCACUCUUCCAAAGACUGGGGGCCAAUGGUGACUCCUCACCAGACUUAACUGCCUCAGUAUAAAUUUUGUGUGCAGCUCUGACCAUGAAGCAGGGAGGCCAUCGCUUAUAAGAAGCAGUUUAAUGUUAGACAGCCGAGUCCCAAAACCUACGUCAGCAUUAGUCUUGGCUGUCCAUUAUAGGAAAAACACACACUCUACAGCUGCGGCUGCCUCAUCGGUCCAAGAGGGGGAAGUGGAACUACACCUGUUGGAAGAAAGAGCCGCCACUCACGCAUCUUCUGAAGCCUCUUCCAGCUCUCGGAUCUACCACUGGCUCAGAAAAUGCAAGAGGGAAAUUACAUGGCUCAUUGUGGAUCCAUCUGGGGAAACAUGACAUACACAGAGAACAAAGCAUGGAAGCAGAAAGGAGUUAGAAUAACACUUUUACUGUGUUGAAAGAAAGAUCUGUCAAUUCAGAAUUCUGUGUCCAGUGCUGGAAGAAAAAUAUUAUCCAUCAACAAUUACAUAUCCAAGUCCGGGGAGGUUGCUCAAGCUGGUCAAAGCAGGCCCACACAAGCCUGUGGUGAAUCAGAGCCCUGGAGCCUGUGUAAAACGGUGGACGCUGAGGCAAGCAUCUGUAAUCCCAGUGCGCAGUGAAAAGGAAGGCAGACUUAGAAAAAUCUGUCAGGAGCUCCCAGGCCAGGAGUAC